CCUACGGGCGGCAGCAGUGAGGAAUAUUGGUCAAUGGGCGGGAGCCUGAACCAGCCAAGCCGCGUGAGGGAAGAAGGUACAGCGUAUCGUAAACCUCUUUUGUCAGGGAACAAAGGCGGGGACUAGUCCCCGGAUGAGGGUACCUGAAGAAAAAGCAUCGGCUAACUCCGUGCCAGCAGCCGCGGUAAUACGGAGGAUGCGAGCGUUAUCCGGAUUUAUUGGGUUUAAAGGGUGCGCAGGCGGCCUGUUAAGUCAGCGGUAAAAGCCCGGGGCUCAACCCCGGCGAGCCGUUGAAACUGGCGGGCUGGAGUUGGAGAGAAGUACGCGGAAUGCGCGGUGUAGCGGUGAAAUGCUUAGAGAUCAUACAGAACACCGAUUGCGAAGGCAGCUUACCAAUCUAUAUCUGACGUUGAGGCACGAAAGUGUGGGGAGCAAACAGGAUUAGAUACCCCGGUAGUC
RNAcentral lists this ribosomal RNA (459 nucleotides) under uncultured bacterium. Its description in RNAcentral is "partial 16S ribosomal RNA". It matches the Rfam family "Bacterial small subunit ribosomal RNA", at positions 338 to 795 of the family's 1533-position model. The record is from RNAcentral.